Small nuclear RNA from Humulus lupulus (European hop), 160 nucleotides. RefSeq annotates it as U1 spliceosomal RNA. Lineage: Eukaryota; Viridiplantae; Streptophyta; Magnoliopsida; Rosales; Cannabaceae. The transcript has a single exon. The record is from RefSeq and is a predicted model, not a curated record.
AUGAUAAGCUGAGACGGGGUCAAUGAGCGAUCAAGAAGGCUCGUGGCCUAGUUUGGUGACUUCCAUUGCACCUAGGAAGGUCGCCAAGCUAAGGUCUGCCCAAGUGGUAGUGCCUAUGUCCCAAUUUUUUGUUGCGGGGGCUGCGUUUGCUUGGCCCUCU